Molecule: long non-coding RNA, 461 nt
Organism: Saccostrea cuccullata (small rock oyster)
Lineage: Eukaryota; Metazoa; Mollusca; Bivalvia; Ostreida; Ostreidae
Exons: 3
Source: RefSeq, a predicted model, not a curated record
UUUUAAACAUCUUAUGAUUGAUGACGUCACAAAUAUGGUAUUAUUGUCCGUGAUGAAGUUUCACAAGUGGGUGUGUGUGUCCCGCAAUCAAGGAAGGUAGAUUCUAAAGCAUGCAAGAAUUUUAUUGUAUUUUUCCACUUAUUAUUAUCAUGUUCUAGUAAAUCAACCAAGUUCUGCACGUAAAACAAAUACUAGACAAAAAAUACUCCGAUCAAUAUUCCACCGAGAACCAAGAAAGGAAAAGGAAGGAUUUCCGAAGUUACUCUGUUUUAUACCGGAUAAAUUAUUUAAGUCUGAGUUAUGGCCACUUACGGGAAAGGUGAAUUUGGAGGAUUCUCUUCGUAUCAGACGAGUGAUUCACCGCCAGCCACAGGAGGGGGAGGAGGGAGUGAAUUGUCGAGACUAACCAACACCAUCAGCAGUAACAUACAGAGGAUUACACAGAAUGGUAAGUCAAUACA